This 586-nucleotide long non-coding RNA is filed under the name Salvia miltiorrhiza (redroot sage). RNAcentral's name for it is "long non-coding RNA (SMIL_LNC009688)". Lineage: Eukaryota; Viridiplantae; Streptophyta; Magnoliopsida; Lamiales; Lamiaceae. The record is from RNAcentral.
UCCAUGAACAGCAGCGGUCGGCGCGACUCCGUGAACAGCAGCAGUCGACGGUUUCAGGCGAGGAGCUCGCCUUGGUGCUCCACGAGCAGUCAGCGGCAGCAGCUCCACGCGGCGGCCUCGCUGGCGACCGGAACGGCCAGGACGCGGGGAGGGGAUGGCCGGAAUCGAGCGAGAGAGAGAGAUGUUGAGCAGUGUCCGAUUCUUGAUUUUAGAGAGAUGAUGAAUAGUGUGUGAGUGUGUUAUGAGAAAGAGAAAGAGAUGUGCAGUGUUUCUUCCUUAAUAAUUGAGAGAGAGGGAGUGUAUGCUUUAAAAAAAAAAGGGGGAAGAAUCGAUGAUGAUGGUGAUUAAAGAAAAUGGUGGGUUAGGCUUUUAAAGAAAAUGGGGAACCGAUGUUAGUGAAAAAAAAAAAGAGAGAUAAGGAAUUUUUACUUUAAUAAAGAUAGAGAGAUUUGAUGAUUAAAAGAGAUAGUGGGUGUGAGUGUUUGGUGGUGACUGAUAAGAGAGAGAGAGAUAAAUAAUAAAGUGUGUGUGUGCGUGUAUGAUUCUAAAAGAAAGGGGAAAAAGGAAGUUUGGAGUUUGGGCCGGG